RNAcentral lists this non-coding RNA (32 nucleotides) under Geobacter sulfurreducens KN400. The record is from RNAcentral. Lineage: Bacteria; Pseudomonadati; Thermodesulfobacteriota; Desulfuromonadia; Geobacterales; Geobacteraceae.
UCGAGAAGAAGAAGGAAGCGCUCAACCACUUC